This 550-nucleotide ribosomal RNA is filed under the name uncultured fungus. Its description in RNAcentral is "eukaryotic LSU rRNA". The stretch from base 186 to 339 matches the Rfam family "5.8S ribosomal RNA". The record is from RNAcentral. Lineage: Eukaryota; Fungi.
UCGUCGGAGAGAGUGAACCAGCGGAGGGAUCAUUACCGAGUUUACAACUCCCAAACCCCUAGUGAACAUACCUUACUGUUGCCUCGGCGGAUCAGCCCGCUCCCGGUAAAACGGGACGGCCCGCCAGAGGACCCCUAAACUCUGUUUCUAUAUGUAACUUCUGAGUAAAACCAUAAAUAAAUCAAAACUUUCAACAACGGAUCUCUUGGUUCUGGCAUCGAUGAAGAACGCAGCAAAAUGCGAUAAGUAAUGUGAAUUGCAGAAUUCAGUGAAUCAUCGAAUCUUUGAACGCACAUUGCGCCCGCCAGUAUUCUGGCGGGCAUGCCUGUUCGAGCGUCAUUUCAACCCUCAAGCACAGCUUGGUGUUGGGACUCGCGUUAAUUCGCGUUCCUCAAAUUGAUUGGCGGUCACGUCGAGCUUCCAUAGCGUAGUAGUAAAACCCUCGUUACUGGUAAUCGUCGCGGCCACGCCGUUAAACCCCAACUUCUGAAUGUUGACCUCGGAUCAGGUAGGAAUACCCGCUGAACUUAAAGCAUAUCAAUAAGCGAAG